UACAGAGGGGGCAAGCGUUAUUCGGAAUUAUUGGGCGUAAAGGGCGCGUAGGCGGCGAUUCAAGUGACGGGUGAAAUCCCUCGGCUUAACCGAGGAACUGCCUGUCAGACUGGAUUGCUUGAGGCCGGGAGAGGCGAGUGGAAUUCCCAGUGUAGCGGUGAAAUGCGUAGAUAUCUGGAGGAACACCGGUGGCGAAGGCGGCGUCCUGGACCAAUACUGACACUGAGGAGCGAAAGCCAGGGGAGCAAACGGG
RNAcentral lists this ribosomal RNA (253 nucleotides) under uncultured bacterium. RNAcentral's name for it is "partial 16S ribosomal RNA". It matches the Rfam family "Bacterial small subunit ribosomal RNA", at positions 524 to 776 of the family's 1533-position model. The record is from RNAcentral.